GCUGGGUAAACUCAGUUGGUAGAGCACGAGACUCUUAAUCUCAGGGUUGUGGGUUAGAGGCCCAUGUUAGGCA
Non-coding RNA from Podarcis lilfordi (Lilford's wall lizard), 73 nucleotides. The record is from the annotation of a GenBank genome assembly. Lineage: Eukaryota; Metazoa; Chordata; Lepidosauria; Squamata; Lacertidae.